CAGCCGCCACGGGAAUACAGAGGGUGCAAGCGUUAAUCGGAAUUACUGGGCGUAAAGCGCGCGUAGGUGGUUCGCCAAGUUGGAUGUGAAAUCCCCGGGCUCAACCUGGGAACUGCAUCCAAAACUGGCGAGCUAGAGUAUGGUAGAGGGUGGUGGAAUUUCCUGUGUAGCGGUGAAAUGCGUAGAUAUAGGAAGGAACAUCAGUGGCGAAGGCGACCACCUGGACUGAUACUGACACUGAGGUGCGAAAGCGUGGGGAGCAAACAGGAUUAGAUACCCCCGUAGUCCCUGUCUCUUAUAC
RNAcentral lists this ribosomal RNA (301 nucleotides) under uncultured bacterium. RNAcentral describes it as "partial 16S ribosomal RNA". It matches the Rfam family "Bacterial small subunit ribosomal RNA", at positions 509 to 807 of the family's 1533-position model. The record is from RNAcentral.